GCCCCCGUUGUCUAAUGGCUAUGACGUCAGACUUCUAAAACGUGUGGGUCACGUGAUCUGGAGGCUGCGGGUUCGAGUCCCGCCGGGGGUA
This 91-nucleotide transfer RNA is filed under the name Trametes coccinea BRFM310. RNAcentral's name for it is "Trametes coccinea (strain BRFM310) tRNA". It matches the Rfam family "tRNA". From Rfam's summary of the family: Transfer RNA (tRNA) molecules are approximately 80 nucleotides in length. The record is from Rfam by way of RNAcentral. Lineage: Eukaryota; Fungi; Basidiomycota; Agaricomycetes; Polyporales; Polyporaceae.